UCCAUUUCCGUAGGAAUGCUUGAUUGAAUGUGUUUCUGUAACCAAAUUGAAUGAAAUACUGUCGAUUGGUUUUCUCACUUCCAUUUGAGUUGAUGACAAACAAAUUUUUCGUUAAAUUCAAAAUGGAAUUCGUUGAAUUUAAAGCAAAUAGAAAUACGUCGGGGCGUGCUACAAAUGGCCAAAAGAGGCGGUUACUGCACUUAAUGCAGGAGCACCGCAGCGUUGGAAGGGGCCAAUUUCAGAAACCAAAUGCAAGGAAGGAGCACGAAGAGGUUUGGGCAGCCUUUGUUGCUGAAUUAAAUGCGUAGGGAGGGUCCCACAAGUCCCCUAAUCAGUGGAAAAAGUGUUGGAUAGACUGGAAAUCGGCAGUCAAGAAGCUGCACAAUGCCCACAGAGCGUUCGCCAGACGAACUGGAAACCUGCCGUUGCAGGACGGUCCAAAACCGUUGGAUGCCAUGGACCGGGAAAUUUUGGAGUUUUUUUCCAGCGAAACUGGUUUGUAGACAACUGCUGAAAUGGUCGAUGUUACGAUUGAGAAUGAGGGUGAUGCUACUGCCAACAUUGGGUUGGACGCAAACGCGGACAGUUUGGGCAUCUUCGAAGUGGAGGCACUUGAAGAGGUUGCAAUGGGUCAGGUGCUUGAGGUUGUGCCAAACAAACAGCAACCCAAACAGCGCACAAACCAAAGCUGUGUGGAAGAGGCGACCAGUCUCAUAGAAAAUCAUCUUGCGCAGCUGAAAGAGAUUUUGGAGAGACAGCACAAGGAGCACAUGGGUGUUUUAAACGGAAUACACGAUACCCUGAAAGCUCUGUUGGAAACCAUGACGGGAGCGACUGUUGCAUAAGGAGUAGGCGUAUGUACACUGUUUACACGGGGGCAAGAAAAAAUACUUUUAUAUUUUUCAAUACAAUUUACUUUAAUUAAAA
Bactrocera neohumeralis is the source of this 927-nucleotide long non-coding RNA. RefSeq lists it as uncharacterized. NCBI's taxonomy places the organism in Eukaryota, Metazoa, Arthropoda, Insecta, Diptera, Tephritidae. The record is from RefSeq and is a predicted model, not a curated record. The transcript has 6 exons.